RNAcentral lists this long non-coding RNA (287 nucleotides) under Linum usitatissimum (flax). RNAcentral's name for it is "long non-coding RNA (LUSI_LNC000833)". Lineage: Eukaryota; Viridiplantae; Streptophyta; Magnoliopsida; Malpighiales; Linaceae. The record is from RNAcentral.
AGCACUGGGAGGAGGGCCAGGACGCGGCCUCCCGCCGAAAGCCUUAGCCUUCCUUCGCUUCCUCUCUUCCUCACUGUCCGACUCAUCGCCCUUCUCUCUGUCUGCAUUACUUGCUUCUCUCUCCAACUCUUCCCAUGUCUUUCCCUUCUCUUCCUCAGAGUCAGCUUCCGAGUCCUCUUCCUCUUCAUCUUCAGAUUCCACCAACGAUGCGCUGUCAGAAUCCUCUUCUUCCGAGACAGACUCCGGCUCCGAUCCUGAUGGCUGAUACCCCUGAUCAGACUCCUCUG